GCCUACGGGAGGCAGCAGUAGGGAAUUUUCGUCAAUGGGCGCAAGCCUGAACGAGCAAUGCCGCGUGAACGAGGAAGGUCUUCGGAUCGUAAAGUUCUGUUGAAGGGGAAAAAGAGCGGAGAGAGGAAAUGAACUCCGAUUGAUAUUACCCUUAGAGGAAGUCACGGCUAACUACGUGCCAGCAGCCGCGGUAAUACGUAGGGGGCGAGCGUUAUCCGGAUUGAUGGGGAGAAAAGGGUGAGUAGGCGGCCUGCUACGUCUGGAGAGACAGGGACCGGC
This 279-nucleotide ribosomal RNA is filed under the name uncultured bacterium. RNAcentral's name for it is "partial 16S ribosomal RNA". It matches the Rfam family "Bacterial small subunit ribosomal RNA", at positions 337 to 608 of the family's 1533-position model. The record is from RNAcentral.